UACGUAGGGUGCAAGCGUUAAUCGGAAUUACUGGGCGUAAAGCGUGCGCAGGCGGUUGUGUAAGACAGAUGUGAAAUCCCCGGGCUCAACCUGGGAACUGCAUUUGUGACUGCACGGCUGGAGUGCGGCAGAGGGGGAUGGAAUUCCGCGUGUAGCAGUGAAAUGCGUAGAUAUGCGGAGGAACACCGAUGGCGAAGGCAACCCCCUGGGCUGACACUGACGCUCAGGCACGAAAGCGUGGGGAGCAAACAGG
RNAcentral lists this ribosomal RNA (253 nucleotides) under uncultured bacterium. RNAcentral's name for it is "partial 16S ribosomal RNA". It matches the Rfam family "Bacterial small subunit ribosomal RNA", at positions 524 to 776 of the family's 1533-position model. The record is from RNAcentral.